GACGAACGCUGGCGGCGUGCUUAACACAUGCAAGUCGAACGAAGAGCGCUUUCAGCUUGCUUCUAUCAAUCUUCGUUUCUCCCUUUUGAUUACCUCUUCAUCAACCUUCCCUUCAUCUUUUUACCACAGUUUUCCCCUCCUUCUCAUACCUCAUCCGCUCUCAACUCUUCAUCGCUGAGAGCUGAAGGGUGGCCUCUCCCUGUACGCUCUCCCUUACGGCGGGGAGUGCGUCUGUUUCGCUAGGUGGCGGGGUAACGGCCCACCAAGGCGAUGGUCAGUAGCCGGUAUGAGAGGAUGAACGAGCACAUUGGGACUGAGACACGGCCAAGAACACUACGGGAGGAAGAAGUGGGGAAAAUUCCGCAAUGGACGAAAGUCUGACGGAGAAACGCCGCGUGAGUGAUGACGGCAUUAGGGUUGUAAAGCUCUGUUAAUCGGGACGAAAGGCCUGAUUGCGAAUAGUGAGAAGGAUUGACGGUACCGGAAUAGAAAGCCACGGCUAACUACGUG
RNAcentral lists this ribosomal RNA (510 nucleotides) under uncultured bacterium. RNAcentral's name for it is "partial 16S ribosomal RNA". It matches the Rfam family "Bacterial small subunit ribosomal RNA", at positions 28 to 507 of the family's 1533-position model. The record is from RNAcentral.